UUUUUAUUUUUUUAGACAUUGUCUUGCUCUGUCACCCAGGCUGGAGUGCAGUGGAGCCAUCGUAGCUCACUUCAGCCUUGACUGGGCUCAAACAAUCUGCUUGCCUCAGUCUCCCCGAUGUAGUUGGGACCACAGGCACACACCACCACAUCUGGCUAAUUUUGUUGUAGUUGCUUUUUUGUAGAGAUGGGGGUCUUGCCAUGUUGCCCAGGCUGGUCUCGAUCUCCUGGGCUCAUGAAAUUCUUCCCUUUGCCUCCCUAAGUGCUGGGAUUCUGGGUAUAAGCCACCAUGCUCAGCCAGCCUGGGGGUUGGAUGUGGCAGUGGUGGUAGGGAUACCAAGGGGAGCAAAAGAGGAAGUCCCAGUGCAUAAGCACUUUUUUUUUUUUUGAGACGAAGUCUCGCUCUGUUGCCCAGACUCUCUGAAUCCAGGUGAUGAGAAGUCACACAUCCCUGCUAGAAAUCAGAGUCCACAUCCCUUUCAAGCACCCAGGAUUAAGCCCAGGCAUCCCCUGCCACAGUCUGGACCCUCAAGCCCCCUCCCACCUCUCACUGGGCAGACUCAGGGGGUGCCAGUACAGCCUCAGCAUCAGCCCGCAUCUCAUCCAGAGCCUGCAGCAGUACGCCGUGAGCCGCUCGGUAGCCCAGGCCACCUGUCGCCGCUGCGCCACCCGCAGGCCACAGGAAGGAGAGAGCACCCAGUGCUGCGCCCCCAGCAGUGCCCUCGCCGCCCAGGAGCCCAGCCUUGCCGACCUCGGCGUCACCGGGCCUGGGAAAUGAGCUGCCAGCUCCCCAGGAGCCAGGCCCAGGGCACGCUCACGUCGAGCCAGUGCCGCGGGUUCCAGUCCCAGGCCCCGUCGCCACUCCGCCAGCUGACCCCGCAUGAAGUGCCACGUCGCAUGCCCAGCCCAGCCCUGGGAGUGGUGCCGCCGCCGCUGCUAGACUAGCCAGCAGAGCUGGCCUCCACGCCCGGCCCGCGCGCAGCCUUGGUUCGGGCAGCACUGGGAGAUGCUGGUGGCAGUGCCAGCAGCAGCGCCCCUGCCUGGGCUGGGGGGAGCGCUUGCCGCAGCCAUUCGCAUAGCCCUGGGAGUCCACCAGGCCGUAGGGGGAACACUGGCGGCCGUGCCUCCUCCAACACCUCCCACGUCUCGUCCUCCGGGCUUAACACGGCGGCACGCUCUGAGUCGCCACCACCUGAUUUCUUCAUGCCGACAACCUGCUGCAAACCCUCGCUGCCAGCUUUCUCAGGACCUUCCCCGCUGCCUGCUUUCUGCGAUCCAGCGCUACAUUUCUCCCUUCCCUUACUGAGUGCAUUCUCCAAUCCCCCUCCGCCUGCGUUCUUUAAGCUCUCGCCGUUGGGUUUCUCCAUCUUUCCUUCUCCCAAAUACUCCGGAUCCUCGCCCUCGCCGUCUGUGCGCACGCAGACAAGAGGCGCAUCUGGUAGCACCAAGGCCUGGACCUGGGCCCAGUCCUUCUCAGUGGGGGCCCCAGGGGUGACGAGGAUGAGGGCGUCGUAGUGCGUUGGGUGAGAGGCUGCGGCCGCGGUGGUGGCAGUGCCCGUGGGACCCAGAGGCACAGUCCAGAGCACCACAUUCG
This 1593-nucleotide long non-coding RNA is filed under the name Macaca fascicularis (crab-eating macaque). Its description in RNAcentral is "lncRNA (ENSMFAG00000059212.1)". The record is from RNAcentral. Lineage: Eukaryota; Metazoa; Chordata; Mammalia; Primates; Cercopithecidae.